Non-coding RNA from Tephrocybe rancida, 83 nucleotides. The record is from the annotation of a GenBank genome assembly. NCBI's taxonomy places the organism in Eukaryota, Fungi, Basidiomycota, Agaricomycetes, Agaricales, Lyophyllaceae.
GGGGGUAUAGCUCAGCUGGGAGAGCAGCAGACUGAAGUUGACUUGGUUUCUGAAGGUCCCGCGUUCGAUCCGCGGUACCCCCA